AGAGUUUGAUCCUGGCUCAGAUUGAACGCUAGCGGGAUGCUUUACACAUGCAAGUCGAACGGCAGCGCGAGGGGAAGGCUUGCUUUCCCUUUGGCGGCGAGUGGCGAACGGGUGAGUAAUGUAUCGGAACGUGCCCAGUAGCGGGGGAUAACUACGCGAAAGCGUGGCUAAUACCGCAUACGCCCUGAGGGGGAAAGGGGGGGAUCGCAAGACCUCCCACUAUUGGAGCGGCCGAUAUCGGAUUAGCUAGUUGGUGGGGUAAAGGCCUACCAAGGCGACGAUCCGUAGCUGGUUUGAGAGGACGACCAGCCACACUGGGACUGAGACACGGCCCAGACUCCUACGGGAGGCAGCAGUGGGGAAUUUUGGACAAUGGGGGCAACCCUGAUCCAGCCAUCCCGCGUGUGCGAUGAAGGCCUUCGGG
This 424-nucleotide ribosomal RNA is filed under the name uncultured bacterium. Its description in RNAcentral is "bacterial SSU rRNA". It matches the Rfam family "Bacterial small subunit ribosomal RNA", at positions 8 to 422 of the family's 1533-position model. The record is from RNAcentral.